Molecule: transfer RNA, 69 nt
Filed under: Ictidomys tridecemlineatus (thirteen-lined ground squirrel)
Lineage: Eukaryota; Metazoa; Chordata; Mammalia; Rodentia; Sciuridae
Description: Spermophilus tridecemlineatus (thirteen-lined ground squirrel) tRNA
Rfam family: tRNA
About the family: Transfer RNA (tRNA) molecules are approximately 80 nucleotides in length.
Source: Rfam by way of RNAcentral
GGGGCUGUAGCUCAGUGGCAGAGCACUUGUCUUGGACAUGGGAGGCACUGGGUUUGAUCCUCAGCACCA